UGGGCUGCAAAUAAAUACAGAAGUCCGAGGUUACACCCGACACACAUUCGGGAGCAGGGGAGAGAACUCUCACUUGAGCAGUCUUUGGACCCCAAGUGUUUAUCUUCCAUAAGUUGAACAUCCUGUUUUCAACUGCCCGCUUUCUGGUUCUGGCUACGGUUUUUCUCAAAGUCCAGGAAGAGUUCAGAUUGUACGUCACAGAUUUCCUUCUCCAGGCUGAGACCGGAUCUGUAAAGUCGGUACUUUGCGGCGGCUCUUCGGUCUCACCCCGUAUGGCGUUUUGGUGACCAAAACGGAGUGAGCUGCCAAAAUUCCAUGUCUGUUUUCACAGCCAAUUCAUUUAAUUACAUAGCGACCAGCUAGGCAAGCAGUUUUCACAUAAGGAGCAGUGGGUGGGGUGGGGGGGAAGAGAAACAGAUGGCCUGGAUCUCUUAAUCGCAGUUCUGCCCCUGCACUGAUUGACAACUUCUCUUCCCCAAGACAAGAGCGGUCUUGGUCAAGAGAGCCCGGGAGGAGAAUGCCGCCUUACUGAGAGAACGCUCACGAGGACCAAGUGCUGCUGUAAUUCCAGCACAUCUACCCAGAUCCAGAAUCACUAAGCCGUCGGUUGUGGAGAAAGCUUAAUAAUGACAAGGGCGCCAGUGGACUCCACAAGCCUUCAUUCCUCGGCUGCUUAAGAGAUAUCCUGCCGCUAAACAGCUUUCAUUCUUUGCCCAGUGAUGUGAAGGGGAAAAAGCACAUACCUGAAAAUCCGACCUCGUUUCUUCGGUCUUCAUGUGAACUAAGUGCUGAUUUACUACACUUCUUUCUUGCUUCACACGUUCUGCUCUUGCUUCUGUGGGUUCAUCUGUAAGUCUUACCUGCGAAGGAAAUCGGAAAGCCAUCGAUCAGGUGAGAUGCCUCCUCUGUUCUUCAAAGGACAGAGGGAAUAGCAAAACUGAGUUUUGUAGGGGUUGGGUUCUUCGAUGUACCGCCAUUAUAAAGGGAAAGUUGCUGGGGUUAAUCAAUUACAAGAAAUCACUACCAAAUGCUUCCUCGUGAAUGGGAUCAGCUCCUGCUACCGUUAGACUGUUACAUAAACAGUUCUUGAAAGGCCACUCUACCGGGGGAAAAAACAGAGACUCCUAAAGGAUCCUGCAAUCCCCGAACCAUAAACGGGUACAGAUGAGGCAGCGACCUUUCUGCUUGGCCUCACGACACCCGACCUCCUUGACUGGCCCACUCCAAGAGUUCGAUUGAGUUUCUUAAAUUUUAGAGGGCCAGGUUCCCGUUCCUUUGGACCCAGCUGAAGCAGGUGGGUCACUGGAAUAAACUCUGAAUUGCA
This is a long non-coding RNA of Ornithorhynchus anatinus (platypus), 1324 nucleotides long. RefSeq lists it as uncharacterized. The transcript has 2 exons. The record is from RefSeq and is a predicted model, not a curated record. NCBI's taxonomy places the organism in Eukaryota, Metazoa, Chordata, Mammalia, Monotremata, Ornithorhynchidae.